AUGUCCAGAUAUACCACAUGGAUUCACCAUGGAGAAAGUAUGCGGCCCUCCGAAGCAACUACUGGUCCUAGUUCACAGUUUGAAGAAUAUGCUGAUAGUGAUGAGAUGGAUGAGAUGCUACUAGAAGGAUUUGGAAUGUACGAUACUCGUACUUUAGGAGAGGAGCAAGAGUCUGAAGAUGAUUUGGACGAUGAUGCUAAGGCAUACUAUAGAUUAGUUAAUGAUGGACGCCAAGAGUUGUACCCGGGUUGCAAAAGAUUCUCGAAGCUGCAAUUUUUGGUGAGGUUGCUUCAUAUCAAGAAUAUGAGGGGAAUGAGCAAUGUCUGCUUUGAUGAGGUAUUGACGCUAAUUAAGGAGGCACUUCCAGAAGGUCAGGCGUUGCCCAAAAAUUUUCAUGGGGCCAAAAAGUUUGUGAGAGCCAUCGGUAUUGGAUAUGAUAGUAUAGAUGCAUGA
RNAcentral lists this ribosomal RNA (453 nucleotides) under Triticum aestivum (bread wheat). Its description in RNAcentral is "partial small subunit ribosomal RNA". Lineage: Eukaryota; Viridiplantae; Streptophyta; Magnoliopsida; Poales; Poaceae. The record is from RNAcentral.